RNAcentral lists this ribosomal RNA (2930 nucleotides) under Escherichia coli. RNAcentral describes it as "23S ribosomal RNA". It matches the Rfam family "Bacterial large subunit ribosomal RNA". The record is from RNAcentral. Lineage: Bacteria; Pseudomonadati; Pseudomonadota; Gammaproteobacteria; Enterobacterales; Enterobacteriaceae.
GGGUUGUGAGGUUAAGCGACUAAGCGUACACGGUGGAUGCCCUGGCAGUCAGAGGCGAUGAAGGACGUGCUAAUCUGCGAUAAGCGUCGGUAAGGUGAUAUGAACCGUUAUAACCGGCGAUUUCCGAAUGGGGAAACCCAGUGUGAUUCGUCACACUAUCAUUAACUGAAUCCAUAGGUUAAUGAGGCGAACCGGGGGAACUGAAACAUCUAAGUACCCCGAGGAAAAGAAAUCAACCGAGAUUCCCCCAGUAGCGGCGAGCGAACGGGGAGGAGCCCAGAGCCUGAAUCAGUGUGUGUGUUAGUGGAAGCGUCUGGAAAGGCGCGCGAUACAGGGUGACAGCCCCGUACACAAAAAUACACAUAUUGUGAGCUCGAUGAGUAGGGCGGGACACGUGGUAUCCUGUCUGAAUAUGGGGGGACCAUCCUCCAAGGCUAAAUACUCCUGACUGACCGAUAGUGAACCAGUACCGUGAGGGAAAGGCGAAAAGAACCCCGGCGAGGGGAGUGAAAAAGAACCUGAAACCGUGUACGUACAAGCAGUGGGAGCACGCUUAGGCGUGUGACUGCGUACCUUUUGUAUAAUGGGUCAGCGACUUAUAUUCUGUAGCAAGGUUAACCGAAUAGGGGAGCCGAAGGGAAACCGAGUCUUAACUGGGCGUUAAGUUGCAGGGUAUAGACCCGAAACCCGGUGAUCUAGCCAUGGGCAGGUUGAAGGUUGGGUAACACUAACUGGAGGACCGAACCGACUAAUGUUGAAAAAUUAGCGGAUGACUUGUGGCUGGGGGUGAAAGGCCAAUCAAACCGGGAGAUAGCUGGUUCUCCCCGAAAGCUAUUUAGGUAGCGCCUCGUGAAUUCAUCUCCGGGGGUAGAGCACUGUUUCGGCAAGGGGGUCAUCCCGACUUACCAACCCGAUGCAAACUGCGAAUACCGGAGAAUGUUAUCACGGGAGACACACGGCGGGUGCUAACGUCCGUCGUGAAGAGGGAAACAACCCAGACCGCCAGCUAAGGUCCCAAAGUCAUGGUUAAGUGGGAAACGAUGUGGGAAGGCCCAGACAGCCAGGAUGUUGGCUUAGAAGCAGCCAUCAUUUAAAGAAAGCGUAAUAGCUCACUGGUCGAGUCGGCCUGCGCGGAAGAUGUAACGGGGCUAAACCAUGCACCGAAGCUGCGGCAGCGACGCUUAUGCGUUGUUGGGUAGGGGAGCGUUCUGUAAGCCUGUGAAGGUGUGCUGUGAGGCAUGCUGGAGGUAUCAGAAGUGCGAAUGCUGACAUAAGUAACGAUAAAGCGGGUGAAAAGCCCGCUCGCCGGAAGACCAAGGGUUCCUGUCCAACGUUAAUCGGGGCAGGGUGAGUCGACCCCUAAGGCGAGGCCGAAAGGCGUAGUCGAUGGGAAACAGGUUAAUAUUCCUGUACUUGGUGUUACUGCGAAGGGGGGACGGAGAAGGCUAUGUUGGCCGGGCGACGGUUGUCCCGGUUUAAGCGUGUAGGCUGGUUUUCCAGGCAAAUCCGGAAAAUCAAGGCUGAGGCGUGAUGACGAGGCACUACGGUGCUGAAGCAACAAAUGCCCUGCUUCCAGGAAAAGCCUCUAAGCAUCAGGUAACAUCAAAUCGUACCCCAAACCGACACAGGUGGUCAGGUAGAGAAUACCAAGGCGCUUGAGAGAACUCGGGUGAAGGAACUAGGCAAAAUGGUGCCGUAACUUCGGGAGAAGGCACGCUGAUAUGUAGGUGAAGUCCCUCGCGGAUGGAGCUGAAAUCAGUCGAAGAUACCAGCUGGCUGCAACUGUUUAUUAAAAACACAGCACUGUGCAAACACGAAAGUGGACGUAUACGGUGUGACGCCUGCCCGGUGCCGGAAGGUUAAUUGAUGGGGUCAGCGCAAGCGAAGCUCUUGAUCGAAGCCCCGGUAAACGGCGGCCGUAACUAUAACGGUCCUAAGGUAGCGAAAUUCCUUGUCGGGUAAGUUCCGACCUGCACGAAUGGCGUAAUGAUGGCCAGGCUGUCUCCACCCGAGACUCAGUGAAAUUGAACUCGCUGUGAAGAUGCAGUGUACCCGCGGCAAGACGGAAAGACCCCGUGAACCUUUACUAUAGCUUGACACUGAACAUUGAGCCUUGAUGUGUAGGAUAGGUGGGAGGCUUGGAAGUGUGGACGCCAGUCUGCAUGGAGCCGACCUUGAAAUACCACCCUUUAAUGUUUGAUGUUCUAACGUUGACCCGUAAUCCGGGUUGCGGACAGUGUCUGGUGGGUAGUUUGACUGGGGCGGUCUCCUCCUAAAGAGUAACGGAGGAGCACGAAGGUUGGCUAAUCCUGGUCGGACAUCAGGAGGUUAGUGCAAUGGCAUAAGCCAGCUUGACUGCGAGCGUGACGGCGCGAGCAGGUGCGAAAGCAGGUCAUAGUGAUCCGGUGGUUCUGAAUGGAAGGGCCAUCGCUCAACGGAUAAAAGGUACUCCGGGGAUAACAGGCUGAUACCGCCCAAGAGUUCAUAUCGACGGCGGUGUUUGGCACCUCGAUGUCGGCUCAUCACAUCCUGGGGCUGAAGUAGGUCCCAAGGGUAUGGCUGUUCGCCAUUUAAAGUGGUACGCGAGCUGGGUUUAGAACGUCGUGAGACAGUUCGGUCCCUAUCUGCCGUGGGCGCUGGAGAACUGAGGGGGGCUGCUCCUAGUACGAGAGGACCGGAGUGGACGCAUCACUGGUGUUCGGGUUGUCAUGCCAAUGGCACUGCCCGGUAGCUAAAUGCGGAAGAGAUAAGUGCUGAAAGCAUCUAAGCACGAAACUUGCCCCGAGAUGAGUUCUCCCUGACCCUUUAAGGGUCCUGAAGGAACGUUGAAGACGACGACGUUGAUAGGCCGGGUGUGUAAGCGCAGCGAUGCGUUGAGCUAACCGGUACUAAUGAACCGUGAGGCUUAACCUUACAACGCCGAAGCUGUU